GAUGAACGCUGGCGGCGUGCCUAAUACAUGCAAGUCGAGCGAACGGACGAGAAGCUUGCUUCUCUGAUGUUAGCGGCGGACGGGUGAGUAACACGUGGAUAACCUACCUAUAAGACUGGGAUAACUUCGGGAAACCGGAGCUAAUACCGGAUAAUAUUUUGAACCGCAUGGUUCAAAAGUGAAAGACGGUCUUGCUGUCACUUAUAGAUGGAUCCGCGCUGCAUUAGCUAGUUGGUAAGGUAACGGCUUACCAAGGCAACGAUGCAUAGCCGACCUGAGAGGGUGAUCGGCCACACUGGAACUGAGACACGGUCCAGACUCCUACGGGAGGCAGCAGUAGGGAAUCUUCCGCAAUGGGCGAAAGCCUGACGGAGCAACGCCGCGUGAGUGAUGAAGGUCUUCGGAUCGUAAAACUCUGUUAUUAGGGAAGAACAUAUGUGUAAGUAACUGUGCACAUCUUGACGGUACCUAAUCAGAAAGCCACGGCUAACUACGUGCCAGCAGCCGCGGUAAUACGUAGGUGGCAAGCGUUAUCGGGAAUAUUGGGCGUAAAGCGCGCGUAGGCGGUUUUUUAGUCUGAUGUGAAAGCCCACGGCUCAACCGUGGAGGGUCAUUGGAAACUGGAAAACUUGAGUGCAGAAGAGGAAAGUGGAAUUCCAUGUGUAGCGGUGAAAUGCGCAGAGAUAUGGAGGAACACCAGUGGCGAAGGCGACUUUCUGGUCUGUAACUGACGCUGAUGUGCGAAAGCGUGGGGAUCAAACAGGAUUAGAUACCCUGGUAGUCCACGCCGUAAACGAUGAGUGCUAAGUGUUAGGGGGUUUCCGCCCCUUAGUGCUGCAGCUAACGCAUUAAGCACUCCGCCUGGGGAGUACGACCGCAAGGUUGAAACUCAAAGGAAUUGACGGGGACCCGCACAAGCGGUGGAGCAUGUGGUUUAAUUCGAAGCAACGCGAAGAACCUUACCAAAUCUUGACAUCCUUUGACAACUCUAGAGAUAGAGCCUUCCCCUUCGGGGGACAAAGUGACAGGUGGUGCAUGGUUGUCGUCAGCUCGUGUCGUGAGAUGUUGGGUUAAGUCCCGCAACGAGCGCAACCCUUAAGCUUAGUUGCCAUCAUUAAGUUGGGCACUCUAAGUUGACUGCCGGUGACAAACUGGAGGAAGGUGGGGAUGACGUCAAAUCAUCAUGCCCCUUAUGAUUUGGGCUACACACGUGCUACAAUGGACAAUACAAAGGGCAGCGAAACCGCGAGGUCAAGCAAAUCCCAUAAAGUUGUUCUCAGUUCGGAUUGUAGUCUGCAACUCGACUACAUGAAGCUGGAAUCGCUAGUAAUCGUAGAUCAGCAUGCUACGGUGAAUACGUUCCCGGGUCU
Molecule: ribosomal RNA, 1370 nt
Filed under: uncultured bacterium
Lineage: Bacteria
Description: bacterial SSU rRNA
Rfam family: Bacterial small subunit ribosomal RNA
Source: RNAcentral